AACUAUUUCUCCAGAGCUGCCCCCGUGACAUCAACCGCUUCAACUACUCCACUCCCCUGUCUCACAACUUCUCUACUCCCCCGAACGUACUGCCAUCGACACACUCCGCAACAACCCAGAUCAGGU
This is a long non-coding RNA of Amblyraja radiata (thorny skate), 126 nucleotides long. RefSeq lists it as uncharacterized. The record is from RefSeq and is a predicted model, not a curated record. The transcript is spliced from 3 exons. NCBI's taxonomy places the organism in Eukaryota, Metazoa, Chordata, Chondrichthyes, Rajiformes, Rajidae.